This 500-nucleotide ribosomal RNA is filed under the name uncultured bacterium. RNAcentral's name for it is "partial 16S ribosomal RNA". It matches the Rfam family "Bacterial small subunit ribosomal RNA", at positions 30 to 523 of the family's 1533-position model. The record is from RNAcentral.
AUUGAACGCUGGCGGCAUGCCUUACACAUGCAAGUCGAACGGCAGCACGGGAGCAAUCCUGGUGGCGAGUGGCGAACGGGUGAGUAAAGUAUCGGAACGUGCCCAGUCGUGGGGGAUAACGAAGCGAAAGUUACGCUAAUACCGCAUACGAUCUAUGGAUGAAAGCGGGGGAUCGCAAGACCUCGCGCGAUUGGAGCGGCCGAUAUCGGAUUAGGUAGUUGGUGGGGUAAAGGCUCACCAAGCCGACGAUCUGUAGCUGGUCUGGGAGGACGACCAGCCACACUGGGACUGAGACACGGCCCAGACUCCUACGGGAGGCAGCAGUGGGGAAUUUUGGACAAUGGGCGAAAGCCUGAUCCAGCCAUGCCGCGUGCAGGAUGAAGGCCUUCGGGUUGUAAACUGCUUUUGUACGGAACGAAAAGGUUUGGGCUAAUAAGCUGAGCUCAUGACGGUACCGUAAGAAUAAGCACCGGCUAACUACGUGCCAGCCGCCGCGGUAA